UUCACAACAUGGAUUUGUAGAAUGGAACCUGAAUUAGCAAGAAACCAGCUCCUGGCUUUCUGCAAGGAACAGAGGUUGAUGCAAGCAGACAGCAUCCCAGCUUGGGAGACUAAGUACUGUAUCUCAAAGCUCACUGUCUCAUAGCCAGCAUUCUUGUUGAGGAGGCAUACAGCUCUACUGGCAGGAAUCUUAAGAGUCAAGUGUAACCGAAAUUGCAAGAGACUCUAGGGAAUGACCAACCCACAUCCCACAACAGAAUGAAUAUGAGAAGCAAUAAAUGCUGAAUGGUAAAAGAAGUUAAGAACCAAACAGAAAGGAAGAAGACUUCUUUUAACCAUCUGAAGAUGGCUUUGCACUGAAGGCAACAUACCUUCCAACUAUGAGUUGACUCCAACCGACUCUGGAAACCCAUGUGAUCUUGUUUUGCAAGCAUCUGUGACAUGAAAAGGAGACACAGCUUUGUGCCAACAAGGACAAAACCAGGGGGGAUUAUAAAAGAUUAUAAAAGAAGCAAGUGGAACAGCACUGAAAUAAUAAUACUCACAGGUGUACCGGAGCAAAAAGUCACCCCAAAAUGGAAGAUGCCUUUCAGCACUCCAGAAAAAAAAGAACUUGAA
Long non-coding RNA from Sceloporus undulatus (fence lizard), 617 nucleotides. RefSeq lists it as uncharacterized. The transcript is spliced from 4 exons. The record is from RefSeq and is a predicted model, not a curated record. NCBI's taxonomy places the organism in Eukaryota, Metazoa, Chordata, Lepidosauria, Squamata, Phrynosomatidae.